Molecule: microRNA precursor, 208 nt
Filed under: Oryza meridionalis
Lineage: Eukaryota; Viridiplantae; Streptophyta; Magnoliopsida; Poales; Poaceae
Description: MIR812 microRNA precursor family
Rfam family: MIR812 microRNA precursor family
Source: Rfam by way of RNAcentral
UUUAAAUGUAAUUAUGGUUUCUGUUUCCAACGUUUAAUUGACGUCUUAUUUAAAUUUUUUUAUAGUUAGUAUUUUAUUGUUAUAAGAUGAUAAAACAUAAAUAAUACUAAUAUUUAUAGGUAUGUGUAUUAUUUUUAUUUUUUUAUAAACUUUUAAAUGAGACGGACCAUCAAACAAGUUGGACACAGAAAACACGAAUGCACUUAUA